Bos taurus (domestic cattle) is the source of this 311-nucleotide long non-coding RNA. NCBI's taxonomy places the organism in Eukaryota, Metazoa, Chordata, Mammalia, Artiodactyla, Bovidae. The record is from Ensembl.
AGCACCUGGAUGAGCAGAACAAAGAAGAGUCCCUAAGAAGGGCUGAACUCUGCAACUCUCACCCAGAUGCGCCUCGGUGUGGAAUGCAGCCGGGAACCGCUGGGGACCAGGGAGUCAGCCAUUCCUGAGAGGCACGCGGCCCACCCUGAGCAUGGGCACCGUGUCCUGAGGUCAGCCGGUCCCAGCAGAUCUGCAUGCAGGGCCCGGUGAUUCAAUUAGCGUGACUUCAGUUGUUCUUUUUCAGAGUCACAAACAUCCAAGUCUAAGAGCAUGCGUUCCACCUUUGGCAUGGCAACCAGGAGGUGCAGUUC